RNAcentral lists this ribosomal RNA (253 nucleotides) under uncultured bacterium. Its description in RNAcentral is "partial 16S ribosomal RNA". It matches the Rfam family "Bacterial small subunit ribosomal RNA", at positions 524 to 776 of the family's 1533-position model. The record is from RNAcentral.
UACGGGGGGGGCAAGCGUUGUUCGGAAUUACUGGGCGUAAAGGGCUCGUAGGCGGCCAACUAAGUCAGACGUGAAAUCCCUCGGCUUAACCGGGGAACUGCGUCUGAUACUGGAUGGCUAGAGAUUGGGAGAGGGAUGCGGAAUUCCAGGUGUAGCGGUGAAAUGCGUAGAUAUCUGGAGGAACACCGGUGGCGAAGGCGGCAUCCUGGACCAACACUGACGCUCAUGCACGAAAGCGUGGGGAGCAAACAGG